Molecule: ribosomal RNA, 468 nt
Filed under: uncultured bacterium
Lineage: Bacteria
Description: partial 16S ribosomal RNA
Rfam family: Bacterial small subunit ribosomal RNA
Source: RNAcentral
GACGAACGCUGGCGGCGUGCUUAACACAUGCAAGUCGAACGGAAAGGCCCUGCUUUUGUGGGGUGCUCGAGUGGCGAACGGGUGAGUAACACGUGAGUAACCUGCCCUUGACUUUGGGAUAACUUCAUGAAACUUGGGCUAAUACCGGAUAGGAGCUCCUGCUGCAUGGUGGGGGUUGGAAAGUUUCGGCGGUUGGGGAUGGACUCGCGGCUUAUCAGCUUGUUGGUGGGGUAGUGGCUUACCAAGGCUUUGACGGGUAGCCGGCCUGAGAGGGUGACCGGCCACAUUGGGACGGAGAUACGGCACAGACUCCUACGGGAGGCAGAAGUGGGGAAGAGUGCACAAGGGGCGGAAGCAUGAUGCAGCAAAGCAGCGUGCGGGAUGACGGCCUUCGGGUUGUAAACCGCUUUCGCCUGUGACGAAGCGUGAGUGACGGUAAUGGGUAAAGAAGCACCGGCUAACUACGUG